CCAGCCGAGAGGCGUUGCAACGGACCCGCGGUCCGCCACGCUCGGCGAAGCUCCAAGGACGCCUUCCGACA
RNAcentral lists this non-coding RNA (71 nucleotides) under Nocardioides sp. Its description in RNAcentral is "SAH sequence". It matches the Rfam family "SAH (S-adenosyl-L-homocysteine) riboswitch aptamer". The record is from RNAcentral. Lineage: Bacteria; Bacillati; Actinomycetota; Actinomycetes; Propionibacteriales; Nocardioidaceae. RNAcentral also lists the same sequence under 1 other name.